RNAcentral lists this ribosomal RNA (460 nucleotides) under uncultured bacterium. Its description in RNAcentral is "bacterial SSU rRNA". It matches the Rfam family "Bacterial small subunit ribosomal RNA", at positions 30 to 504 of the family's 1533-position model. The record is from RNAcentral.
AUUGAACGCUGGCGGCAUGCCUUACACAUGCAAGUCGAACGGCAGCACGGGAGCUUGCUCCUGGUGGCGAGUGGCGAACGGGUGAGUAAUGCAUCGGAACGUGCCCUGAAGUGGGGGAUAACGUAGCGAAAGUUACGCUAAUACCGCAUAUUCUGUGAGCAGGAAAGCAGGGGAUCUUCGGACCUUGCGCUUUUGGAGCGGCCGAUGUCGGAUUAGCUAGUUGGUGGGGUAAAGGCCCACCAAGGCGACGAUCCGUAGCGGGUCUGAGAGGAUGAUCCGCCACACUGGGACUGAGACACGGCCCAGACUCCUACGGGAGGCAGCAGUGGGGAAUUUUGGACAAUGGGCGGAAGCCUGAUCCAGCCAUGCCGCGUGAGUGAAGAAGGCCUUCGGGUUGUAAAGACGUCUUUCGGUCCGGGGAAGGAAAGUUAGCACGGGUUAAGUACCCUAGUGUAGAUGA